UUUACUUUAAUUGCAGUGAUUAUGGGAUUAAUUGCAGUCACAGCUACGGCUGCUGUAGUAGGAGUUGCAUUGCACUCUUCUGUUCAGUCAGUAAACUUUGUUAAUGAUUGGCAAAAAAAUUCUACAAGACUGUGGAAUUCACAAUCUAGUAUUGAUGAAAAAUUGGCAAAUCAAAUUAAUGAUCUUAGACAAACUGUCAUUUGGAUGGGAGACAGACUCAGGAGCUUAGAACAUCGUUUCCAGUUACAGUGUGACUGGAAUACGUCAGACUUUUGUAUUACACCCCAAAUUUAUAAUGAGUCUGAGCAUCACUGGGACAUGGUUAGACGCCAUCUACAGGGAAGAGAAGAUAAUCUCACUUUAGACAUUUCCAAAUUAAAAGAACAAAUUUUUGAAGCGUCAAAAGCCCAUUUAAAUUUGGUGCCAGGAACUGAGGCAAUUGCAGGCGUUGCUGAUGGCCUCGCAAAUCUUAACCCUGUCACUUGGGUUAAGACCAUUGGAAGUACUACAAUUAUAAAUCUCAUAUUAAUCCUUGUGUGCCUGUUUUGUCUGUUGUUAGUCUGCAGGUGUACCCAACAGCUCGGAAGAGACAGCGACCAUCGAGAACGGGCCAUGAUGACGAUGGCGGUUUUGUCGAAAAGAAAAGGGGGAAAUGUGGGGAAAAGCAAGAGAGAUCAGAUUGUUACUGUGUCUGUGUAGAAAGAAGUAAACAUAGGAGACUCCAUUUUGUUCUGUACUAAGAAAAAUUCUUCUGCCUUGAGAUUCUGUUAAUCUGUGACCUUACCCCCAACCCCGUGCUCUCUGAAACAUGUGCUGUGUCAACUCAGAGUUAAAUGGAUUAAGGGCAGUGCAAGAUGUGCUUUGUUAAACAGAUGCUUGAAGGCAGCAUGCUCCUUAAGAGUCAUCACCACUCCCUAAUCUCAAGUACCCAGGGACACAAAAACUGCGGAAGGCCGCAGGGACCUCUGCCUAGGAAAGCCAGGUAUUGUCCAAGGUUUCUCCCCAUGUGAUAGUCUGAAAUAUGGCCUCGUGGGAAGGGAAAGACCUGACCAUCCCCCAGCCCGACACCCGUACAGGGUCUGUGCUGAGGAGGAUUAGUAAAAGAGGAAGGAAUGCCUCUUGCAGUUGAGACAAGAGGAAGGCAUCUGUCUCCUGCCUGUCCCUGGGCAAUGGAAUGUCUCGGUAUAAAACCCGAUUGUAUGCUCCAUCUACUGAGAUAGGGAAAAACCGCCUUAGGGCUGGAGGUGGGACCUGCGGGCAGCAAUACUGCUUUGUAAAGCAUUGAGAUGUUUAUGUGUAUGCAUAUCUAAAAGCACAGCACUUAAUCCUUUACAUUGUCUAUGAUGCAAAGACCUUUGUUCACGUGUUUGUCUGCUGACCCUCUCCCCACAAUUGUCUUGUGACCCUGACACAUCCCCCUCUUGGAGAAACACCCACGAAAGAUCAAUAAAUACUAAGGGAAUUCAGUGGCUGGCGGGAUCCUCCAUAUGCUGAAUGCUGGUUUUCUGGGUCCCCUUAUUUCUUUCUCUAUACUUUGUCUCUGUGUCUUUUUCUUUCCUAAGUCUCUCAUUCCACCUUACGAGAAACACCCACAGGUGUGGAGGGGCAACCCACCCCUACAGGGAUGAAGCUGCAGACCCCCGCAGUGAGUGUUACAGCUCAUAAAGGUAAUGUAGACCCAAAGAGUAAGCAGCAGCAAGAUUUAUUGUGAAGAGCAAAAGAACAAAGCUUCCACAGCAUGGAAGGGAACUCAAGCAGGUUGCCACUGCUGGUUUGGGUGGCCAGGUUUUAUUCCCUUAUUUGGCACCACCCACAUCCUGCUGAUUGGUCCAUUUUACUCAGUGCUGAUUGGUCCAUUUUACAGAGCACUGAUUUGUCCAUUUUAAAGAGUGCUGAUUAGUGCAUUUUUACAGAGUGCUGAUUGGUACAUUUACAAUCCUUUAGCUAGACACAGAGUGCUGAUUGGUGCAUUUACAAUCCUUUAGCUAGACACAAAAGUCCUUCAAGACCCCACCCAACCCAGAAGCCCAGCUGGCUUCACCUCUCAAUACUAUGGGUAUUCCAUAUAACUCACAAGCACAAGCAAUACUGGAAAGAGCUAAUCGUACUUUAACAACUCAAAUACAAAAGCAAAAGGGAGGGGACCAGGAAUAUAAGACACCACAUAUGCAAUUGCAUUUAGCUUUAUUAACAUUAAGUUUUUUUAAUUUACAAAAAGAUCAACCCAUGACUGCAGCUGAACAACACCUGAUGGGACAAAAGGAUAAGAAAAAGGCUGGACAAGAUAUAUGGUGGAGGGAUGAACAUACAAAGAGCUGGGGAAACGGAAAGAUAAUUUUAUGGGGAAGAGGAUUUGCUUUUGUCUCUCCAGGUGACAAUGAGGUACCUGUGUGGGUGCCCACCAAAAGUCUGAAGCUCUACCAUGAAUCACAGCAUCCAGUGGAUCCACCUGUACAGUGCAAAUUGAAGAGGUUUAAGGAUUGCUUUUAAGCCUCAAUUUGUGUUCUCUGUGCUUUUUGCCAGAAGGGGCCUGCUUCUCAUUAUCAAUGGAGACACAAACCAUGUAGGUGCCCUCAAGAUGUGUACAACCAUGGAACAGGAGACUGGAAGGACCCAUGGAUCCCAACCACGGACCAGACUGAAUCAACUAUGCACAUGUGUGACCCAGACGUUCAGUGCUGCCAAAACAGCCAGUGCGUGUCUGUUUUGGCAGGAAGAAGACGUUUCUUCUGAGGAGCAGCCUCCCUGCUAAAUCCAGCUGGCCUGACCCUGACAGAACUGCAUG
Long non-coding RNA from Pan troglodytes (chimpanzee), 2785 nucleotides. RefSeq lists it as uncharacterized. The transcript is spliced from 3 exons. Lineage: Eukaryota; Metazoa; Chordata; Mammalia; Primates; Hominidae. The record is from RefSeq and is a predicted model, not a curated record.